AUGUCAUCAGGGAGCGUAGUUCCUGCUUUUUUUCACAUUCUUUAGCUUUCAGUCGAUCGGACUCCUUCACUUCGGCAAACCGGUGGCCAUCUGGAGCUUGCUGUCCUGUGUUGGGAGUACAGUUCUUGUGCCAACGGUUUACCUCAGAGAAACCAGAGGUCUGUGUCUGUCAUCAGUUUCCGGCGUGUGUUUGUGGCUCUGGUAACACUGAACAGGAA
Molecule: non-coding RNA, 218 nt
Organism: Plectropomus leopardus (leopard coralgrouper)
Lineage: Eukaryota; Metazoa; Chordata; Actinopteri; Perciformes; Serranidae
Source: RefSeq, a predicted model, not a curated record